RNAcentral lists this ribosomal RNA (496 nucleotides) under uncultured bacterium. Its description in RNAcentral is "partial 16S ribosomal RNA". It matches the Rfam family "Bacterial small subunit ribosomal RNA", at positions 28 to 506 of the family's 1533-position model. The record is from RNAcentral.
GAUGAACGCUGGCGGCGUGCCUAAUACAUGCAAGUCGAGCGAACAGACGAGGAGCUUGCUCCUCUGACGUUAGCGGCGGACGGGUGAGUAACACGUGGAUAACCUACCUAUAAGACUGGGAUAACUUCGGGAAACCGGAGCUAAUACCGGAUAAUAUAUUGAACCGCAUGGUUCAAUAGUGAAAGACGGUUUUGCUGUCACUUAUAGAUGGAUCCGCGCCGCAUUAGCUAGUUGGUAAGGUAACGGCUUACCAAGGCAACGAUGCGUAGCCGACCUGAGAGGGGGACCGGCCCCCCGGAACCUAGGACCCGGCCCAACUCCCACCGGGGGGCAGAGGAGGGGAUUCUUCCGAUGUGGGGCAAGUCCGUCCGGGGCACCCCCGGGGAGGUGAUAAAGUUUUUGGGUCCGAAAAACUCUUUUUUUGGGAAAAAAAAAAUGUGUAGAUAACUAUCCCCGUCUGACGCUGUCCAAACAAGAAGGCCCCGGCAACCAUCGU